AUCCAUACAGUUAUACACAAGUUAUUGUCCUGAAACUAGAAAAAUGCUUGUUUUUGGCCCCUUUUUGGCCCUUAAUUCCUAGACUCUUUGUCCCAUAACCCUUAAAAUAAAUCCCAACCUUCUACGUAUGGUAUUAAACAUUGUGGUACAAUUUCAGAGCAAUUGAAAUACUUAUACACAACUUAUUGUCCUGAAACUAGAUAAAUGCUUGUUUUGGCCCCCAUU
RNAcentral lists this long non-coding RNA (225 nucleotides) under Mytilus galloprovincialis (Mediterranean mussel). Lineage: Eukaryota; Metazoa; Mollusca; Bivalvia; Mytilida; Mytilidae. The record is from RNAcentral.